CAGUCCUUUAAGACAGUCCCGUGAGGCUGAGAAGGAAACGGAUCAACAAAGGCAUUGCGUUUGCCUUGUUGUAAUUGACUCUACCCGUUUACCCUCUUGCCAAACAGGCAGGAGGGUUUUUUGAA
Molecule: regulatory RNA element, 125 nt
Rfam family: PyrR binding site
About the family: This family represents the PyrR binding site and terminator structure. This RNA structure is found upstream of a variety of genes involved in pyrimidine biosynthesis and transport.
Source: Rfam